This 482-nucleotide ribosomal RNA is filed under the name uncultured bacterium. RNAcentral describes it as "partial 16S ribosomal RNA". It matches the Rfam family "Bacterial small subunit ribosomal RNA", at positions 28 to 507 of the family's 1533-position model. The record is from RNAcentral.
GAUGAACGCUAGCGGCAGGCCUAAUACAUGCAAGUCGGACGGGAUUCAGGAGCUUGCUUCUGAUGAGAGUGGCGCACGGGUGCGUAACGCGUAUGUAACCUACCUUUAUCAGGGGGAUAGCCUCUCGAAAGAGAGAUUAAGCCCGCAUAAAAUCACAGCACAGCAUUGUGUAAUGAUCAAAUAUUUAUAGGAUAAAGAUGGGCAUGCGGAACAUUAGCUAGAUGGCGGGGUAACGGCCCACCAUGGCGACGAUGUUUAGGGGAUCUGAGAGGAUGGCCCCCCACACUGGUACUGAGACACGGACCAGACUCCUACGGGAGGCAGCAGUAAGGAAUAUUGGUCAAUGGGCGGAAGCCUGAACCAGCCAUGCCGCGUGCAGGAAGACGGCCCUACGGGUUGUAAACUGCUUUUAUACGGGAAUAAACCCAGAUACGUGUAUCUGGCUGAAUGUACUGUAAGAAUAAGGAUCGGCUAACUCCGUG